CCUACGGGGGGCUGCAGUGGGGAAUCUUGCGCAAUGGGCGAAAGCCUGACGCAGCAACGCCGCGUGUGUGAUGAAGGUCUUCGGAUCGUAAAGCACUGUCGGCAGGAACGAAGGUUACCAACACUAAUAUGGUUGGUGAUUGACGGUACCUGCAAAGGAAGCACCGGCUAACUCUGUGCCAGCAGCCGCGGUAAUACAGAGGGUGCAAGCGUUGUUCGGAAUCAUUGGGCGUAAAGCGCACGUAGGCGGCUUCGCAAGUCAGGUGUGAAAGCCCG
Molecule: ribosomal RNA, 275 nt
Filed under: uncultured bacterium
Lineage: Bacteria
Description: partial 16S ribosomal RNA
Rfam family: Bacterial small subunit ribosomal RNA
Source: RNAcentral